CCUAAGCUGAGGCCGAAAGGCGUAGGUGAUGGACAACAGGUUGAUAUUCCUGUACUACCGAUAACCGUUUGAGAGAAGGGAUGACACAGUAGGAUAAGCUAAGCACACUGUUGGUUAUGUGUGCCCAAGCAUUGAGGCGGUCAAAGUAGGCAAAUCCGCUUUGAUAAUGCUGGGAUGUGAUGGGGAGCGAAAUUUAGUAGCGAAGUAGCUGAUUUCACACUGUCAAGAAAAGUCUCUA
RNAcentral lists this ribosomal RNA (238 nucleotides) under Clostridioides difficile. Its description in RNAcentral is "partial 23S ribosomal RNA". It matches the Rfam family "Bacterial large subunit ribosomal RNA", at positions 1390 to 1623 of the family's 2925-position model. The record is from RNAcentral. Lineage: Bacteria; Bacillati; Bacillota; Clostridia; Peptostreptococcales; Peptostreptococcaceae.